CCUACGGGUGGCAGCAGUCGGGAAUAUUGCGCAAUGGAGGAAACUCUGACGCAGUGACGCCGCGUAUAGGAAGAAGUUUUUCGGAAUGUAAACCAUUGUCGUUAGGGAAGAGAAAGGACAGUACCUAAGGAGGAAGCUCCGGCGAACUACGUGCCAGCAGCCGCGGUAAUACGGAGGAUGCGAGCGUAAUCCGGAUUUAUUGGGGUUAAAGGGUGCGUAGGCGGAAUGUUAAGUCAGCGGUAAAAGCCCGGGGCUCAACCCCGGCGAGCCGUGGAAACUGGGUGCCUUGAGAUGUCGAGAGGUAUGCGGAAUGCGCAGUGUAGCGGUGAAAUGCUUAGAUAUUGCGCAGAACUCCGAUUGCGAAGGCAGCAUACCGGCGGCGAUCUGACGCUGAGGCACGAAAGCGUGGGUAUCGAACAGGAUUAGAUACCCGGGUAGUC
Molecule: ribosomal RNA, 440 nt
Filed under: uncultured bacterium
Lineage: Bacteria
Description: partial 16S ribosomal RNA
Rfam family: Bacterial small subunit ribosomal RNA
Source: RNAcentral